RNAcentral lists this ribosomal RNA (377 nucleotides) under uncultured bacterium. RNAcentral's name for it is "bacterial SSU rRNA". It matches the Rfam family "Bacterial small subunit ribosomal RNA", at positions 523 to 898 of the family's 1533-position model. The record is from RNAcentral.
AUACGUAGGUGGCAAGCGUUGUCCGGAAUUAUUGGGCGUAAAGCGCGCGCAGGCGGGCUGUUAAGUCUGGUGUGAAAGUGAGGGGCUCAACCCCGCAAGGGCACUAGAAACUGGCAGUCUUGAGGGCAGGAGAGGAAAGUGGAAUUCCCAGUGUAGCGGUGAAAUGCGUAGAUAUUGGGAAGAACACCAGUGGCGAAGGCGGCUUUCUGGACUGCAACUGACGCUGAGGCGCGAAAGCUAGGGGAGAGAACAGGAUUAGAUACCCUGGUAUUCCUAGCCGUAAACGAUGGGCACUAGGUGUGGGAGGUAUCGACCCCUUCCGUGCCGGAGUUAACGCAAUAAGUGCCCCGCCUGGGGAGUACGGCCGCAAGGUUGAA